This 315-nucleotide unclassified non-coding RNA is filed under the name uncultured Agaricales. RNAcentral's name for it is "sequence contains 5.8S rRNA gene, ITS2, 28S rRNA gene". The stretch from base 1 to 52 matches the Rfam family "5.8S ribosomal RNA", at positions 103 to 154 of the family's 154-position model. The record is from RNAcentral. Lineage: Eukaryota; Fungi; Basidiomycota; Agaricomycetes; Agaricales.
AACGCACCUUGCGCUCCUUGGUAUUCCGAGGAGCAUGCCUGUUUGAGUGUCAUUAAAUUCUCAAAAUCCUCUCUCACUUGUUGUGGGGGGGGGGCUUUUGGAUGUUGGGAGUUGCAGGUUUUGUAAAGCCAGCUCUCCUCAAAAGAAUUAGCAAGGGGAUAAUAUGGUGUUUCCUUCAUUGGUGUGAUAAAAAUGAUUUACACCAUAUACAAACGCCUCUUAUGAUCUCUGCUUUCUAAUACUUUGCUGUCAAAAACAGUAACUAAUAAUGAUCAACUUGACCUCAAAUCAGGUAGGACAACCCGCUGAACUUAA